GAUGAAGAACGCAGCGAAAUGCGAUAAGUAAUGUGAAUUGCAGAAUUCCGUGAAUCAUCGAAUCUUUGAACGCACAUUGCGCCCCCUGGCAUUCCGGGGGGCAUGCCUGUCCGAGCGUCAUUUCUGCCCUCCAGCCCGGCUGGGUGUUGGGCGCUGUCCCCCCGGGGACACGCCCCAAAGGCAGUGGCGGCGCCGCGUCGGGUCCUCGAGCGUAUGGGGCUUUGUCACCCGCUCGGGACGGACUCGUCGGCGCUGGUCUUCCUCCAGGCGACCCUUCGGGGCUCGUCUUCCUUCGGUUGACCUCGGAUCAGGUAGGGUUACCCGCUGAACUUAAGCAUAUCAAUAAGCGGAGG
Molecule: unclassified non-coding RNA, 353 nt
Filed under: soil metagenome
Description: partial contains 5.8S ribosomal RNA, internal transcribed spacer 2, and large subunit ribosomal RNA
Rfam family: 5.8S ribosomal RNA (bases 1-120)
Source: RNAcentral